ACUCCUACGGGAGGCAGCAGUGGGGAACUAUUGCACAAUGGGCGCAAGCCUGAUGCAGCCAUGCCGCGUGUGUGAAGAAGGCCUUCGGGUUGUAAAGCACUUUCAGUUGUGAGGAAGGUAGGUGUCCGUUAAUAGCGGCAUCAUUUGACGUUAGUCAAACAGAAGAAGCACCGGCUAACCUCCGUGCCAGCAGCCGCGGUAAUACGGAGGGUGCGAGCGUUAAUCGGUAAUUACUGGGCGUAAAGCGCAUGCAGGUGGUUUGUUAAGUCAGAUGUGAAAGCCCGGGGGCUCAACCUCGGAACUGCAUUUGAAACUGGCAGACUAGAGUACUGUAGAGGGGGGUAGAAUUUCAGGUGU
This 357-nucleotide ribosomal RNA is filed under the name uncultured bacterium. RNAcentral's name for it is "bacterial SSU rRNA". It matches the Rfam family "Bacterial small subunit ribosomal RNA", at positions 335 to 676 of the family's 1533-position model. The record is from RNAcentral.